CAGCAGCCGCGGUAAUACCGGCGGCCCGAGUGGCGGCCACUAUUAUUGGGCCUAAAGCGUCCGUAGCCGGGCUGGUAAGUCCUCCGGGAAAUCUGGUCGCUUAACGAUCAGACUUCCGGAGGAUACUGCUGGCCUAGGGACCGGGAGAGGCCGAGGGUAUUCCCGGGGUAGGGGUGAAAUCCUGUAAUCCCGGGAGGACCACCUGUGGCGAAGGCGCUCGGCUGGAACGGGUCCGACGGUGAGGGACGAAGGCCAGGGGAGCGAACCGGAUUAGAUACCCGGGUAGUCCUGGCUGUAAACGAUGCGGACUAGGUGUCGGGCAAGCUAAGGGCUUGUCCGGUGCCGCAGGGAAGCCGUUAAGUCCGCCGCCUGGGGAGUACGGCCGCAAGGCUGAAACUUAAAGGAAUUGGGGG
Molecule: ribosomal RNA, 413 nt
Filed under: uncultured microorganism
Description: bacterial SSU rRNA
Rfam family: Archaeal small subunit ribosomal RNA
Source: RNAcentral